This 524-nucleotide ribosomal RNA is filed under the name uncultured bacterium. RNAcentral describes it as "bacterial SSU rRNA". It matches the Rfam family "Bacterial small subunit ribosomal RNA", at positions 366 to 895 of the family's 1533-position model. The record is from RNAcentral.
GCGCAAUGGGCGGAAGCCUGACGCAGCGACGCCGCGUGGGGGAUGACGGCCUUCGGGUUGUAAACCUCUUUCGCCAUCGACGAAGCCUUUCGGGGUGACGGUAGGUGGAGAAGAAGCACCGGCCAACUACGUGCCAGCAGCCGCGGUAACACGUAGGGUGCGAGCGUUGUCCGGAAUUAUUGGACGUAAAGAGCUCGUAGGCGGUGUGUCGCGUCGGCCGUGAAAACCUAGGGCUUAACUCUGGGCGUGCGGUCGAUACGGGCAUCACUUGAGUUCGGCAGGGGAGACUGGAAUUCCUGGUGUAGCGGUGAAAUGCGCAGAUAUCAGGAGGAACACCGGCGGCGAAGGCGGGUCUCUGGGCCGAUACUGACGCUGAGGAGCGAAAGCGUGGGGAGCGAACAGGAUUAGAUACCCUGGUAGUCCACGCCGUAAACGUUAGGCGCUAAGUGUGGGGACCAUUCCACGGUUUCUGUGCCGCAGCUAACGCAUUAAGCGCCCCGCCUGGGGAGUACGGCCGCAAGGCU